Anolis carolinensis (green anole) is the source of this 957-nucleotide long non-coding RNA. RefSeq lists it as uncharacterized. The transcript is spliced from 2 exons. NCBI's taxonomy places the organism in Eukaryota, Metazoa, Chordata, Lepidosauria, Squamata, Anolidae. The record is from RefSeq and is a predicted model, not a curated record.
ACUUCUAUGGCAGGCAUCCUCAGAGGUUGUGAGGUUGACAACACAAUGAACAUCUCUAUGGGAAUAAAUUGUUCCAAGACACACAGAGAUUGGCGAACAGACCUCACAACUUCUGAGGAUGCCUGCCAUAGAUGUGGGCAAAACGUCAGGAGAGAAUGCUUCUGGAACAUGGCCAUACAGCCCAGAAAACUCACAGCAACCCAUGAAAGCUUUUGACAACACAUUAUUAUUAUUAUUAUUAUUAUUAUUAUUAUUAUUAUUAUUAUUAUUGGCACAACGACAUAGUCUGACACAGCAAACAAGAUAGAUAUGCUGGGUUUCGUAUCAUUAUUAUUAUUAUUAUUAUUAUUAUUAUUAUUAUUUGAAACACAACAAGAUUUUUUUUUUCGUGUCAGGAGCUUCUGGAGUGAGAGAGUUGACCGUCUGCAAGGACGUUGCCCAGGGGACGCCCGGAUGUUUUUUGAUGUUUUUACCAUCCUUGUGGGAGGCUUCUCUCAUGUCCCCGCAUGGAGCUGGAGCUGAUAGAGGGAGCUCAUCCACACUCUCCCCAGGUGGGAUUCGAACCUGGCAGCUUUCAGAUUUGUGAUGAAGGAAGAACCGAAGAGGAGGACGAAGAAAAGGAGGGCACCAUGUCAUGGAACCCAGUUACAGGGCUUUGGUAAUUCAGCCCUGCAACUGGGAGUCAUAACAUAAACAAUCCCAGAAGCACCUGGCAGAAGAAGAUAGAAUACGCCUGGGAACUUGGGACCGAAAGUAUAAACAAUUAUAAUUGGUCUAGUGUGUGAAAAUGGUAGUAAUGUGAUAUUGGAGGUGGAACUUGAUGAUGAUAUUUACGUGUGGUGUUACGUAGCAUCAAAAGUUAUAAAAAUAGUUGUAUGUAAACAUUGAGUCAUUCUUGACUUUUCCAAAGUCAUGUGUUCUUCAAUAAAGAUUGGAUUUGAGAGCAGUUAUCUCUAA